RNAcentral lists this unclassified non-coding RNA (653 nucleotides) under Hevea brasiliensis (rubber tree). Lineage: Eukaryota; Viridiplantae; Streptophyta; Magnoliopsida; Malpighiales; Euphorbiaceae. The record is from RNAcentral.
AAAUACAAAUUAUUCAAUUCAUGCUCACACUCUCACUCUCUUCUACCAUAAAUGGCUCCCUAUGGUUUGCUGCUUCACAUGCAUUCCAGGUAUUCUUCAACAGAAUUGGCUGAGGCAUAACAGCUUGCAUUGCUUUAGGUGUCUUCUACUCCUAGAACAUAUCAACCAGCCUUGAAUUCCUUUUCCUUUGCAUGCAACCCCAGCUAGACCCAAGUUCCAAUCAUGGUAAAAUUCCAAAUAAACACUAAAUGACAAGUAAACAAACAGUGGCAAUAUUGUUGGGAAAAUUUUGGUAUAGCUAGGGCUAGAUAUUUAUUCACUGGAUUACUUCUAAAUUUAGAAAAUUUCCCUCUUUUUUUUAUUAUCACAUCUAAAUUGCUGCCAGUUUCCAAAAGUGUCAUCAUCAAUCAGAAUGAAUUCUCUUGCUUUUAAUUAAUUGGUUUGUAAAUGUGUAGUCUUUUAUAGGAGUGUGCAGUUCCGAUUCGGUUUGGGGUCUGCUUAGGAACAGGAACCGAAUAAAAAUUUCAGUGUGGUUCCGAUUUGGUUCUUCGUUGUUUCAGUUCCGGUUCGGUUCUUGGUUUUUGAAAUAAUUUUAUGUAAUUAUUUAAUUAAAAAAAUCAUAUUUGAAUUAGCAUUUGAAUUUUGAAUCAGGU